This 1480-nucleotide ribosomal RNA is filed under the name metagenome. RNAcentral describes it as "bacterial SSU rRNA". It matches the Rfam family "Bacterial small subunit ribosomal RNA". The record is from RNAcentral.
AGCGGUGUGGAUUAGGCAUGCAAGUCGCGCGCGAAAGCCUUCGGGUGAGUAAAGCGGCGAAAGGGUGAGUAACACGUAACCAACGUACCCCUUAGAUCGGAAUAACUGCUGGAAACGGCAGGUAAUGCCGAAUGGUCCUGGUCGUUUGCAUUUACGACUAGGUAAACGGUGGCUUUGCUGCUGCUAGGGGAGCGGGUUGCGGCCUAUCAGCUUGUUGGUGAGGUAACGGCUCACCAAGGCUUCGACGGGUAGCGGGUCUGAGAGGAUGAUCCGUCACACUGGGACUGAGACACUGCCCAGACUCCUACGGGAGGCUGCAGUCGAGAAUCUUCCGCAAUGGGCGAAAGCCUGACGGAGCGACACCGCGUGCAGGAUGAAGGCCUUAGGGUUGUAAACUGCUGUCACGCAAUAGGAAUUCCCAUUCGUUAAUAGCGUAUGGGUUGACCACAGCGAGAGGAAGAGCCGGCUAACUCCGUGCCAGCAGCCGCGGUAAGACGGAGGGCUCUAACGUUGCUCGGAAUCAUUGGGCAUAAAGCGCACGUAGGCGGCCUGCUAAGUCGGGUGUGAAAUCCCUCGGCUCAACCGGGGAACUGCAUCCGAUACUGGCAGGCUAGAGGACGGGAGGGGUGAGUGGAACUCCAGGUGGAACGGUGAAAUGUGUAGAUAUCUGGAGGAACACCGGUGGCGAAAGCGGCUCACUGGCCCGUAUCAGACGCUGAGGUGCGAAAGCUAGGGUAGCGAACGGGAUUAGAUACCCCGGUAGUCCUAGCCGUAAACUAUGGGCACUAGGUAGUGGUUUGGCCUGUACGAAUCACUGCCGUAGCAAAUGUGUUAAGUGCCCCGCCUGGGGAGUACGCUCGCAAGGGUAAAACUCAAAGGAAUUGACGGGGGAUCACACAAGCGGUGGAGCAUGUGGUUUAAUUCGAACCUACGCGAAGAACCUUACCUGGCCUUGACAUGCACGGAUUAGCUCUGUGAAAGCAGAGUGACGGCCCUUCGGGGUUGGAACGUGCACAGGUGUUGCAUGGCUGUCGUCAGCUCGUGCCGUGAGGUGUUGGGUUAAGUCCCGUAACGAGCGAAACCCUUGUCGUUAGUUGCCAGCGGGUAAUGCCGGGGACUCUAGCGAGACUGCCGUUGUCAAAACGGAGGAAGGUGGGGACGACGUCAAGUCAUCAUGGCCCUUAUGGCCAGGGCGACACACGUGCUACAAUGGUCGGUACAAAGGGUUCCAAGGCCGCGAGGUCAAGGCAAUCCCAAAAAGCCGACCCCAGUUCGGAUUGCAGGCUGCAAUUCGCCUGCAUGAAGCCGGAAUCGCUAGUAAUCGCGUAUCAGCCAUGACGCGGUGAAUAUGUUCCUGAUCCUUGUACACACCGCCCGUCAAGCCACGGAAGCGGGGAGCGCUCGAAGUCGCUAUGUCCAACCGUAAGGAGGGCGGCGCCGAAAGCGAGCUCCGUGACUGGGACUAAGUCGAAACAAGGUA